GUAUUUGAUUUAAAAAAUCACAUGUUCAGGCAAAAAUUAAAGCGAGUUGGAAAAAAAAAAACCGUCGGCUCGUCCCCGAAAAGACUAUACCGAGGCCUUUUGAUCUAUGAGUGCACAUUGGGAUGAAUCGUGGUCUGCCGAGCGCCCAAAAGGGCAAAACGACAGUUAACCUCGUAAUGAUCCUUCCGCAGGUUCACCUACGGAAA
This 206-nucleotide unclassified non-coding RNA is filed under the name uncultured fungus. RNAcentral describes it as "sequence contains ITS1". Lineage: Eukaryota; Fungi. The record is from RNAcentral.